GAGUUUGAUCCUGGCUCAGGACGAACGCUGGCGGCGUGUAUUAGACAUGCAAGUCGAACGAGAAUGUCCCGACUUGUCGGGACUAGUAGAGUGGCGAACGGGUGAGUAACACGUGGAUAACCUACCCUCCAGUUUGGGAUAACAUUUCUAACGAAGUGCUAAUACCGAAUAAUACAGCGAACUCGCAUGAGUAUGUUGUUAAAGAUGGCCUCUACAUGUAAGCUAUCGCUUGAGGAUGGGUCCGCGUCCUAUUAGCUUGUUGGUAGGGUAAUGGCCUACCAAGGCGUCGAUGGGUAGCCGGCUUGAGAGGGUGACCGGCCACACUGGGAUUGAGAUACGGCCCAGACUCCUACGGGAGGCAGCAGUUUGGAAUAUUGCGCAAUGGGCGAAAGCCUGACGCAGCGACGCCGCGUGGGUGAUGAAGCUUCUUGGAGUGUAAAACCCAGUCAGGAGGGAAGAAUUGCGAUCGAGCUAAUAACUGGAUCGUUUGACGGUACCUCCAGAGGAAGCUCCGGCUAACUCCGUGCCAGCAGCCGCGGUAAUACGGGGGGAGCGAGCGUUGUUCGGAAUUACUGGGCGUAAAGGGCGUGUAGGCGGGUCUGUAAGUCAGAUGUGAAAAUCCCGAGCUCAACUCGGGACCUGCAUUUGAAACUGCAGAUCUUGAGUACAGAAGAGGAGAGUGGAAUUCCAGGUGUAGCGGUGAAAUGCGUAGAUAUCUGGGAGAACACCGGUGGCGAAGGCGGCUCUCUGGUCUGAUACUGACGCUGAGGCGCGAAAGCUAGGGGAGCAAACAGGAUUAGAUACCCUGGUAGUCCUAGCCGUAAACGAUGGACACUAGGUGUUGGAGGUAUCGACCCCUUCAGUGCCGGAGCUAACGCAUUAAGUGUCCCGCCUGGGGAGUACGGCCGCAAGGCUGAAACUCAAAGGAAUUGACGGGGGCCCGCACAAGCGGUGGAGCAUGUGGUUCAAUUCGAUGCAACGCGAAGAACCUUACCGGGGUUUGACAUCCCGAUGAAAGUUCCAGAAACGGAAUCCCCCAGCAAUGGGCAUCGGGACAGGUGCUGCAUGGCUGUCGUCAGCUCGUGUCGUGAGAUGUUGGGUUAAGUCCCGCAACGAGCGCAACCCCUGCCCUUAGUUGCCAUCAGGUUAUGCUGGGCACUCUAGGGGGACUGCCUCGGAUAACGGGGAGGAAGGUGGGGAUGACGUCAAGUCCUCAUGGCCCUUACAUCCCGGGCUACACACGUGCUACAAUGGCCGGUACAGAGGGUUGCAAUACCGUGAGGUGGAGCCAAUCCCAGAAAGCCGGUCUCAGUUCGGAUUGGAGUCUGCAACUCGACUUCAUGAAGUUGGAAUCGCUAGUAAUCGCGGAUCAGCAUGCCGCGGUGAAUACGUUCCCGGGCCUUGCACAC
RNAcentral lists this ribosomal RNA (1409 nucleotides) under uncultured bacterium. RNAcentral's name for it is "partial 16S rRNA". It matches the Rfam family "Bacterial small subunit ribosomal RNA". The record is from RNAcentral.